AGAUUGAACGCUGGCGGCAUGCCUUACACAUGCAAGUCGAACGGCAGCACGGGAGCAAUCCUGGUGGCGAGUGGCGAACGGGUGAGUAAUACAUCGGAACGUGCCCAGUAGUGGGGGAUAACCCGGCGAAAGCCGGACUAAUACCGCAUACGACCUACGGGUGAAAGCAGGGGAUCGCAAGACCUUGCGUUAUUGGAGCGGCCGAUGUCAGAUUAGCUUGUUGGCGGGGUAAAAGCCCACCAAGGCGACGAUCUGUAGCUGGUCUGAGAGGACGACCAGCCACACUGGGACUGAGACACGGCCCAGACUCCUACGGGAGGCAGCAGUGGGGAAUAUUGCGCAAUGGGCGAAAGCCUGACGCAGCGACGCCGCGUGGGGGAUGAAGGCCUUCGGGUUGUAAACCCCUUUCAGCAGGGACGAAGCGAAAGUGACGGUACCUGCAGAAGAGCGCCGGCUAACUACGUGCCAGCAGCCGC
This 476-nucleotide ribosomal RNA is filed under the name uncultured bacterium. RNAcentral describes it as "SSU rRNA". It matches the Rfam family "Bacterial small subunit ribosomal RNA", at positions 26 to 518 of the family's 1533-position model. The record is from RNAcentral.